CCAAAUACAAAAUUUUAAAAUCUUUACAAAAUAUUGAAAACCGCGAAUAAAUCCGAAAAUCAGGAUGUUACAGCCCCUCUUUUUGGACCCAAGGUCAGCUUCGGCCGGCCGAUCCAGGCGGAAGACAUUGUCAAGUAGGAAGUUUGGCUGGGGCAGCACAUCUGUUAAAAGAUAAUGCAGGUGUCUUAAGAUUAGCUCAACAAGAACAAAAAUCUCGUGUGGAACAAAAGGGUAAAAGCUCAUUUGGUUUUGAUUUCCAGUAUGAAUACGAACCGUGAAAGUGUGGCCUAUCGAUCCUUUAGAGCUUCAAAAUUUGAAGCUAGAGGUGUCAGAAAAGUUACCACAGGGAUAACUGG
RNAcentral lists this non-coding RNA (356 nucleotides) under Gossypium arboreum. RNAcentral describes it as "Eukaryotic large subunit ribosomal RNA". It matches the Rfam family "Eukaryotic large subunit ribosomal RNA", at positions 2451 to 2833 of the family's 3401-position model. Lineage: Eukaryota; Viridiplantae; Streptophyta; Magnoliopsida; Malvales; Malvaceae. The record is from Rfam by way of RNAcentral.